This 231-nucleotide unclassified non-coding RNA is filed under the name Hansfordia pulvinata. RNAcentral describes it as "partial internal transcribed spacer region". The stretch from base 1 to 48 matches the Rfam family "Eukaryotic small subunit ribosomal RNA", at positions 1784 to 1831 of the family's 1831-position model. Lineage: Eukaryota; Fungi; Ascomycota; Sordariomycetes; Xylariales. The record is from RNAcentral.
AAAAGUCGUAACAAGGUCUCCGUUGGUGAACCAGCGGAGGGAUCAUUACAGAGUUUUCUAAACUCCCAACCCAUGUGAACUUACCUAUGUUGCCUCGGCGGCGCCCGGUGGCGAGCAUCUCGCGACCUACCCGGGACCGCCGGCGGAAAACCAAACUCUUUUGAAUUUUUAGCACUUCUGAGUUAAAUCAUAAUAAGUUAAAACUUUCAACAACGGAUCUCUUGGUUCUGG